AGGUGGCGGAACGGGUGAGUAAUACAUAAGCAACCUACCCACGAAGACUGGGAUAAUCUCUGGAAACGGGGACUAAUACCGGAUAGGUAAUCGGAAGGCAUCUUCUGGUUAUUAAAGGUUAAAAACACUGGUGGAUGGGCUUAUGGCGCAUUAGUUAGUUGGUGAGGUAACGGCCCACCAAGACGAUGAUGCGUAGCCGGCCUGAGAGGGUGAACGGCCACAUUGGGACUGAGACACGGCCCAGACUCCUACGGGAGGCAGCAGGA
This 266-nucleotide ribosomal RNA is filed under the name uncultured Solobacterium sp. Its description in RNAcentral is "partial 16S ribosomal RNA". It matches the Rfam family "Bacterial small subunit ribosomal RNA", at positions 93 to 354 of the family's 1533-position model. Lineage: Bacteria; Bacillati; Bacillota; Erysipelotrichia; Erysipelotrichales; Erysipelotrichaceae. The record is from RNAcentral.